Molecule: ribosomal RNA, 587 nt
Filed under: Aspergillus niger
Lineage: Eukaryota; Fungi; Ascomycota; Eurotiomycetes; Eurotiales; Aspergillaceae
Description: eukaryotic LSU rRNA
Rfam family: 5.8S ribosomal RNA (bases 205-358)
Source: RNAcentral
CCUGCGGAAGGAUCAUUACCGAGUGCGGGUCCUUUGGGCCCAACCUCCCAUCCGUGUCUAUUGUACCCUGUUGCUUCGGCGGGCCCGCCGCUUGUCGGCCGCCGGGGGGGCGCCUCUGCCCCCCGGGCCCGUGCCCGCCGGAGACCCCAACACGAACACUGUCUGAAAGCGUGCAGUCUGAGUUGAUUGAAUGCAAUCAGUUAAAACUUUCAACAAUGGAUCUCUUGGUUCCGGCAUCGAUGAAGAACGCAGCGAAAUGCGAUAACUAAUGUGAAUUGCAGAAUUCAGUGAAUCAUCGAGUCUUUGAACGCACAUUGCGCCCCCUGGUAUUCCGGGGGGCAUGCCUGUCCGAGCGUCAUUGCUGCCCUCAAGCCCGGCUUGUGUGUUGGGUCGCCGUCCCCCUCUCCGGGGGGACGGGCCCGAAAGGCAGCGGCGGCACCGCGUCCGAUCCUCGAGCGUAUGGGGCUUUGUCACAUGCUCUGUAGGAUUGGCCGGCGCCUGCCGACGUUUUCCAACCAUUCUUUCCAGGUUGACCUCGGAUCAGGUAGGGAUACCCGCUGAACUUAAGCAUAUCAAUAAGCGGAGGA